Long non-coding RNA from Monomorium pharaonis (pharaoh ant), 2741 nucleotides. RefSeq lists it as uncharacterized. The transcript is spliced from 2 exons. The record is from RefSeq and is a predicted model, not a curated record. NCBI's taxonomy places the organism in Eukaryota, Metazoa, Arthropoda, Insecta, Hymenoptera, Formicidae.
UCGCACAGCACGAAAUGAGCAAGAGCCGCGUAUCGUCGUGCAAAGCAAAACACGCCGCGCAAUUGGUGGAUACGGUGCGAGGGGCGCCGCGAUUGGCCGAAAUGUCGCGACUGGCGUCACCGUGGUUGUCGCUUAUCUAUCGGGGUCAGUGGGGACAGCGGACGGCAGAGAGGACCGCGAAAAGACCGACGAUCGAUCCGUCCUCCCGCCCUUCCCCGUAAACGAAGUUGUCGUUUGGUAGUUUUUAGCAACACGCCGAUAAAUAGCUGCUAAAUGCAUCCUAAUCAGAGUGAAGUAUGCGUGUUACUAGCGAACCGGAUAAAAGGCUCCCGAUCAAGCAACUCUCCCCGCAAAAGCAAUGCAAUGAUUUUUGCAUUCCCUUGCAUUCCAGAAAUCGACUUUGUGAUAUUCAAAAGAUGUGCGAAUAUGAUUGAGAGAUUCCAAGGGCUAAUAAAAUAAGAAUGUCAAUAAAACUGAAGUGAUUGAAAGGUCGAUUUUUUUUUAGAAACCGUCUUUGCGUUACUAUACGACUGCAGGUACUGUUUGCAAUAUUCCUCGAUCGUCCCUUUUCAAUAAAAUGAAUUUUCUAUAUCCUAUUACAUUGUUUAGAAAAUAAAUACGAAAAUAUCUUAACUAAUCCAUAUUUCUUAAUAAAUUUAAAAAAAAAAUUAAUCAAAUAGAAAUUUUAAUCUAACGCAACACGUGGCUGAGGCAUUUCCAAUGAAUAGAAUUAACAAUGAUCGGAAUGUCGCAGCAAGUUCCAGAAUAGUUAAGAUUGAGAACUGUAAUCUUUAUUGUUUAGUUUAUUAUCGAUGGGCAUUAAGAGGGGAUCGUUUUAUUCGAAAAUUGCAAAACGCGGCGACACGUGGACGAGACAUUUCCGAUGAGGCCACAUUGCUCUUAUAAUUUUGAAAUUUUUAUUGGUCUUUCAGCGUCGUUAUUGUUAUUUCGAUUAUUAUUGUUAAUUGCAAAUUUCCGGAAAGAUCCAAUACCAAGAUGUAAAAUCUAAUAUAGAACUGGAAGUAGAUUAAAGAAUGAAAUUACAAUGAGUCGAAAAAUUUCAAACACGCUUCCAGCGAACAAAGAUCUAACAACGGAAUAUGUAUUACCUGACACUCGAUACACUGUUUCGUUGCUCUCACAAGACUGAACACGUGUGAGAAAACUUCUUGGACUCUUGGCGUCCAUUCUUGGCAAGUUUCUUCACGAUUGGUUCUUGCCUUUAAUUCCUAUUGAAUCUAAACUGUAUAAACCAAUCGUAUAAAAGAAGUUUAUAACUGUUUCUUUCUGUUGGACGCAAUCAAUAAGCCAAUUGCAUUUGACCAAUUGAUGUAUUUGGUCGAUAAAAAUGUUGAAUCGUUAAAAAUUAAAACAUUAAUUUUAAGAGUUACGCCAGAAUAUUCGAAAACAUUUCGAAACAAUUCCUAAACGGUUUUAAAUGGAAAUUUUUACAUUUGAUUUACUACAUAAAAAUAUCGAAAUCGCAUGAAAAUGGUCGCUAUUUAAUAAAAAUAAUUUAAAUAAAAUUAUAUUAUAUACAGAGCAUAUCCCUCUGUAAACAUAGUGAUUUAAGAACUCAGAUGAUUUUUCGACUUCCACUAGACCGAUUCUAUCUUAAAAUAGAACAUUUACAAAAAAGUAAAAAAUAUAUUUGAUUACACAAUUAUACAAUCAUAUUUUGAAAUAUUGAAAGUGUAUAUUAAUUUUUUUAUUUUUAAACUUGUAAAGCAUAACUUUUUUUCCUGAGAAGAUUUAAGGCGAAGAUAUCGUCUUAUUUUCUGGUCUCUUAGAAUUUGCGUAUUUGCUAAGAAAAGCUUGCGCAAUAUUUUGCAACCGAGCAUAACGCAUGCUAAUUAUCAUAUAAUUAUCCGGAUUCUCGGUAUUGCGUGUUCGAAUUAAGCGUAAACGAAAUCACCACUAUUAUUACAGAUAUGUAAUAAUCUAUGUAAAUUAGUUGUCGUUAUCAAUCAAUCCUGAAAAUAGAUGAAGAGCAUUAAUAACAUUAUUAAUUGUUCGAUCAGAGCUGCGUAUAAUAAAUGGAACAGGAAAUUAAAAAGUAAAGUUUCUUAUUCAACACAUUAAAUACUAUUUUUCCAUUCCCUAGUGACCCUAGUCCAUUCAUUAUGUCUGAGGCUUAAUCGUCAAUUUAUAAAUAUUUCAUGAAUAUUAUCGAGAAAAGUGCGCGAUUCAAAUAUCGAUAUCUACCGUUGUACUUUGUUAAUUCCUGUGUAACUUGGAUAUGUCAUUCACCAACAAACGUAGAGCGCAAUAACCGCACGACAAAUAAAAUUAUUUUAAUUUUUAUUGAAUUACAUUGUUUAUUCUUAUAAGACACAACUUAUGGUAAAAUAGCAUAAGAAGCGAUAACGAACGAUCCGUCCUACAAGUUACGUACACAAUUGUUACUCUACACUUAUCGUUAUCGUAUUAUUUAAUUAUUAAUCUUUUUUAGCGUAUAAACUUUCAGUCGUCAAAAAUAAUGCAUUCGAACAAAAUUCAUUUCCUUGGUUCUCCCUAACUACUAUACGCUACUCGGUAAUUCUUUACAUCUGUGUAUUGCCAAAAAUACGUGUCUCAACGAUAUCGUAAUUUUCUUUUUUGUUCAUUCGAGCGAUGUGUAUUCCUUAUUUAUUUCUUACUCAGGUUGUAGAUUUGUACUGAUAUCCGUUAGAAUAUGCUACACCAAAGAGAGAGAGAGAGAGAGAGAGAGAGAGAGAGAGAGAGAGAGAGAGAGAGAGAGA